Molecule: ribosomal RNA, 429 nt
Filed under: Actinomycetes bacterium
Lineage: Bacteria; Bacillati; Actinomycetota; Actinomycetes
Description: Actinobacteria bacterium partial 16S ribosomal RNA
Rfam family: Bacterial small subunit ribosomal RNA
Source: RNAcentral
UAGGGAAUCUUCCGCAAUGGGCGAAAGCCUGACGGAGCAACGCCGCGUGAGUGAUGAAGGUCUUCGGAUCGUAAAACUCUGUUAUUAGGGAAGAACAAAUGUGUAAGUAACUAUGCACGUCUUGACGGUACCUAAUCAGAAAGCCACGGCUAACUACGUGCCAGCAGCCGCGGUAAUACGUAGGUGGCAAGCGUUAUCCGGAAUUAUUGGGCGUAAAGCGCACGUAGGCGGACUUUUAAGUCAGGGGUGAAAUCCCGGGGCUCAACCCCGGAACUGCCUUUGAUACUGGAAGUCUUGAGUAUGGUAGAGGUGAGUGGAAUUCCGAGUGUAGAGGUGAAAUUCGUAGAUAUUCGGAGGAACACCAGUGGCGAAGGCGGCUCACUGGACCAUUACUGACGCUGAGGUGCGAAAGCGUGGGGAGCAAACAGG